RNAcentral lists this ribosomal RNA (405 nucleotides) under uncultured Eubacteriales bacterium. RNAcentral's name for it is "uncultured Clostridiales bacterium partial 16S ribosomal RNA". It matches the Rfam family "Bacterial small subunit ribosomal RNA", at positions 355 to 774 of the family's 1533-position model. Lineage: Bacteria; Bacillati; Bacillota; Clostridia; Eubacteriales. The record is from RNAcentral.
UGGGGAAUAUUGCACAAUGGGGGAAACCCUGAUGCAGCAACGCCGCGUGAAGGAUGACGGUCUUCGGAUUGUAAACUUCUAUCGAUGGGGAUAAAAAAAAUGAUAGUACCCAAGUAAGAAGCCCCGGCUAACUACGUGCCAGCAGCCGCGGUAAUACGUAGGGGGCAAGCGUUAUCCGGAAUUACUGGGCGUAAAGGGUGAGUAGGCGGCAUGGUAAGUCAUGUGUGAAAUCCCUAAGCUUAACUUAGGGACUGCACAAGAAACUACUAAGCUAGAGUGCAGGAGAGGUAAGCGGAAUUCCUAGUGUAGCGGUGAAAUGCGUAGAUAUUAGGAAGAACACCGGUGGCGAAGGCGGCUUACCGGACUGCAACUGACGCUGAGUCACGAAAGCGUGGGGAGCGAACA